This 305-nucleotide ribosomal RNA is filed under the name uncultured bacterium. RNAcentral describes it as "bacterial SSU rRNA". It matches the Rfam family "Bacterial small subunit ribosomal RNA", at positions 338 to 639 of the family's 1533-position model. The record is from RNAcentral.
CCUACGGGAGGCAGCAGUGAGGAAUAUUGGUCAAUGGGCGGAAGCCUGAACCAGCCAAGUCGCGUGAGGGACUAAGGCCCUGCGGGUCGUAAACCUCUUUUGCCGGGGAGCAGUGGUCCGGACGCGUCCGGACCGGGAGAGUACCCGGAGAAAAAGCAUCGGCUAACUCCGUGCCAGCAGCCGCGGUAAUACAGAGGUCUCAAGCGUUGUUCGGAAUCACUGGGCGUAAAGCGUGCGUAGGCUGUUUCGUAAGUCGUGUGUGAAAGGCGCGGGCUCAACCCGCGGACGGCACAUGAUACUGCGAG